GAUGAACGCUGGCGGCGUGCCUAAUACGUGCAAGUCGAGCGAACAGAUGAGGAGCUUGCUCCUCUGACGUUAGCGGCGGACGGGUGAGUAACACGUGGAUAACCUACCUAUAAGACUGGGAUAACUUCGGGAAACCGGAGCUAAUACCGGAUAAUAUAUUGAACCGCAUGGUUCAAUAGUGAAAGACGGUUUUGCUGUCACUUAUAGAUGGAUCCGCGCCGCAUUAGCUAGUUGGUAAGGUAACGGCUUACCAAGGCAACGAUGCGUAGCCGACCUGAGAGGGUGAUCGGCCACACUGGAACUGAGACACGGUCCAGACUCCUACGGGAGGCAGCAGUAGGGAAUCUUCCGCAAUGGGCGAAAGCCUGACGGAGCAACGCCGCGUGAGUGAUGAAGGUCUUCGGAUCGUAAAACUCUGUUAUUAGGGUAGAACAAAUGUGUAAGUAACUAUGCACGUCUUGACGGUACCUAAUCAGAAAGCCACGGCUAACUACGUG
RNAcentral lists this ribosomal RNA (497 nucleotides) under uncultured bacterium. Its description in RNAcentral is "partial 16S ribosomal RNA". It matches the Rfam family "Bacterial small subunit ribosomal RNA", at positions 28 to 507 of the family's 1533-position model. The record is from RNAcentral.